UGGGGAAUUUUGGACAAUGGGCGCAAGCCUGAUCCAGCCAUGCCGCGUGUCUGAAGAAGGCCUUCGGGUUGUAAAGGACUUUUGUCAGGGAAGAAAAGGCUGUUGCUAAUAUCGACAGCUGAUGACGGUACCUGAAGAAUAAGCACCGGCUAACUACGUGCCAGCAGCCGCNAUUAAUACGUAGGGUGCGAGCGUUAAUCGGAAUUACUGGGCGUAAAAAGCGAGCGCAGACGGUUACUUAAGCAGGAUGUGAAAUCCCCGGGCUCAACCUGGGAACUGCGUUCUGAACUGGGUGACUAGAGUGUGUCAGAGGGAGGUAGAAUUCCACGUGUAGCAGUGAAAUGCGUAGAGAUGUGGAGGAAUACCGAUGGCGAAGGCAGCCUCCUGGGAUAACACUGACGUUCAUGCUCGAAAGCGUGGGUAGCAAACAGGAUUAGAUACCCUGGUAGUCCACGCCCUAAACGAUGUCAAUUAGCUGUUGGGCAACUUGAUUGCUUAGUAGCGUAGCUAACGCGUGAAAUUGACCGCCUGGGGAGUACGGUCGCAAGAUUA
RNAcentral lists this ribosomal RNA (552 nucleotides) under uncultured bacterium. Its description in RNAcentral is "bacterial SSU rRNA". It matches the Rfam family "Bacterial small subunit ribosomal RNA", at positions 355 to 896 of the family's 1533-position model. The record is from RNAcentral.